UCCAUCGUGAGGUGGAAUCUGAAGGAAGCCGGAUAUGAGGAACACACUAACUCACGGGCAAAUCUCUGGUCUGACGAACAGAAAUCGAGAUCGCACAGAUGAGGUUUGGCAUGAUUG
Molecule: non-coding RNA, 117 nt
Organism: Lachnospiraceae bacterium M18-1
Lineage: Bacteria; Bacillati; Bacillota; Clostridia; Lachnospirales; Lachnospiraceae
Source: Rfam